CUCUCUCUCUCUCUCUCUUAGACACAAAUAUCACCUUAAAUUGCAUGUCAAUUAUAUUUUCUAUCCGAACAUUUUUUUACUUUCCAUCAUUUUGACCUUUCUGAUUUCCAGUAAAACCAGUAAACAAAACAUUUAUAUAAUAACAUACAUUCUUCAGAGUGGAUAGAUUUUAAAAUAAACAAAUUUAGAAGCUUAUAUACCUCAACUUUAAAACUAGAUCAUCCUUUAGGUUGUAAUCUACCUUAUAAUAAUGAUACCGUAAAUGGCAAGAAGAAAAAAUUAUUUUGAUUUUUAUAAUUCUUAUGAUGAUCUAGAAAUAAUAUUAAACUAAAGAAAAAAGUGGAGAAAACAAGUUAAACCUACACCAGACAGUAGACACCCACAACCAUUAAAUCUGCAUACAUAUUUCACAGAAUCUCUCUCUCUCCGCUCAUCCGUCUGUGUAAUUGCACUUACCCACGUAUGUGCAUGCACAGGGAGUCAGGGACACAUAUGCAUGUGGAUAAUAAUGAUCUGUUGUUUUAUCACAAAGCAAGACUACAAUAUUUUCUUUCCUUUGGUCAACCAUUCACUCCAAUAUUUCAUUAGAUGUCUUCAUACAUAACAACCAUGUCACUAUGGCAAAUUUUAUCAAAGGGAAAAAGCAACAUGAAUUAAACCUCAACAUUCACAAAUGUUAAUCCCACAUGCAAGGUGCAUCCAGGCCAUUCACAAAUAUAGGUGAAGAUCAUCUAUAAGAAACCUUUCUCAGGCUUAAGGUCAAAUGUGAAACUAAAUAUUUUAUCCAAUAACUAAGCUUCUUGAAACUUUUUUUUUCCCGAGAAUUUCUUGAAACUGAGAUAAUGGACUUCCAUCUAUAUAUACACAUGAUUUAAUUAAGUUGGUUUUUGACCUUGCAUCUCCUUUGGGUGCAUGUUGCUUCCAACCCUCUUUAUGUGAAUCACAGCACAAAAACACUACAAACAAUAAAUAUGACUAGUAGUACCAGUCAACUCACCUUGCCAGAGUGACAUCAUGGAAAAAUAGAACCCAGCCAAGACCAAUGAUAAAGCCAGCGGAAAAGACUGCAAAGAGAGUUUGAGGUUAUAGUCUGAGCUAGGUAGUCUAAGUAAUAACAUACACAUUCUAUUAAAGUUACAGACAUAAGAAUCUUGUCCACCUCCAGAAUCGACUGCAUGGGCUAAAAAUGUCAAGGAAAGUUAUGACGACUAUUUUGGGACAGAGCAAUAAUAGUCCAUCAUCAAGGUGAACUUAAUGUUGUACUUGUUUCCAGACUUGGGAUACGCUCAACAAUGAAAUGUAACAGUUUAGCACAACUUUGAUAUUUUCAUGUGUUCCAUGUUGUAAGCUUUAUUAACAAGGAUACUGAAAAUCCCAAGAGAUGUUUAAAAUAUAUUUUCAAAAAUAAAUUAUUAAUUUGACUUAUACUCACAGCUAUAUUCUCAAGGCCUCCUGUUUGAGAUGGAGGG
Molecule: unclassified non-coding RNA, 1469 nt
Filed under: Hevea brasiliensis (rubber tree)
Lineage: Eukaryota; Viridiplantae; Streptophyta; Magnoliopsida; Malpighiales; Euphorbiaceae
Source: RNAcentral